Molecule: small RNA, 127 nt
Filed under: Marmota monax (woodchuck)
Lineage: Eukaryota; Metazoa; Chordata; Mammalia; Rodentia; Sciuridae
Source: RNAcentral
GCCAGGUGUGGUGGUGCACGCCUGUGAUCCCAGAGGCUCUGGAGGCUGAGGCAGGAGAAUAAUGAGUUCAAAGCCAGCCUCAGCAAUUUAGUGAGGCACUAAGCAACUCAGUGAGAGCCUGUCUCUA